GCCGGGGGCCCCCGAGCCCGCUGCCGGUGGCGGGGCGGUCGCGGGGCGUGAGGGGGAAGCAGCGUGUAACGGUCCCGGACAGCGGCGAAGUGCGGAGGCACCGCUAGGCGGAGGAGGGAGGCGGCGGCGAGGGAGGCUCCAGUGCUCGCCCGGAACCUUGUUGCCACGGGAGACGGGCGCUUUACGGCAGCGCGUUUGAACGGCGGCGGGGGAAAAGUUGCGCCCGCAGGGCUGAGCGAGAAGCAAACAGCUGGACCACAGUGACGCCGUUCCCACCGUACGUGGAAUCUGCCGCACUCGGGCUUUCCUUAGUCAUACUUCCCGGUUUUACCGAGAGGAGGAGAGGUAUAAAAUUCUGUGCCGUAACAAAUAAAAAGACGAGAGCAAAUUUUCACAGAUAAUUAAUAAGUAACCUCUGUUGUGCUUAAUAAACUUACUGAAUGUAUUAAAUAUUAAAACUGUCAAACACUUUGACUAUUGAUUUACUUCUGCUUUUCACUUCAGGCAAUAAAAUAAUUUAGUAAGUUUGCCUCUAGGCUUCCCUAUUUCUCUUUUUUUCCUUUAUCUUGUCAUGAUUCUGUAGAAUUUAUAGUUCUGUGCUUCUGGGAAAAUUUUAUCUAAAGAAAUUAAAUUUCAGUGAAAGCAUUUCUAUUAAUGAGAUACUUACAAUAAGAAAUUGAUGCACUACAGAACUUGAGGCCCUCAGCUGCUCUACAUUGUCACAUUCCACAUGCUAUAUAUGCACAUUGUGUAACAAGUCACCUCAUUUCAUGGAAGCAGCAUAACUAGGAAAUGAGCUAUUGAACACUGUCAGUUUAUGGGCAUACCUUGCAUCUGAAGCUCCCACAAAAGUCUGGAUAAUCAGAAGUUCUUAGAAAAUAAGUAUUGGGCUAAAAUGAAUGCAGAAUUAGGUAAAGAUCCAAAGGGAUAUUUUCCCAAUGAAUUACCCUCAAAACCCCCCAAGUCUUGGGUUUGGAUACUCACAUGAAAACAGUGGUUGCAGGUGCCAGUCAUUUGUCUGAUAGUUUUCAAAAAAAUUGUUAAGUUUAGGUGUAUUGUUUUUAUGUAUGUGUCUUUACUCAGUGAUGGUUGGUUGCUGACUUCACCAUUUUAAUAAGGAUCUACCUAAGGGUGACAAAAGAAGCAAAUCAAUCAGUACCAAGUGCUUGAUGGACUAACAGGAGUCAUUCAAAAGCAUUAGAUUUGGCAUCAGCUGGGAGUACAGAACCCCAAAUACAAGGAUGGCUCAGAACUGCAACAUGAAACCAACUAUAAGAUAAAACAGAAACUUAUCAGCUCAAAUUUCGAGUGAGGGAUUUACGAAUUUUAAGGCAGAGUUUUGUUUUUAGUUCAACAUCCUUGCUUGUGAAGUUUCUGUGCAGAACAUAAACUGUGGCUGUGAAACUGUUUGCAAAUGAGUGCUUAAGGUGUUGGAAUUGUUAGAUGUUUUUAUCAUUCUGUGGAUGAAUUUGAGGAUGAACCAAAAUAUGAUAUAAAGGUUUUCAUGCAAAGUUUUAAUUCCUUAAAUUUAGUCAUGUUUUUAGGAGUUAGUUGCAAAUAAUAAUUAAUAUCUGUAAACAUAUUUGUAGAUUUGUAAGAACAUUAUCCCGCCUGCCCACACAAAGUUCCAGGCCCUCUUUAAGAACCUUUGGAGAGCUUAUUUUUUUGAGUUUUGUCACUUUUCACUCCUGGAUAAGAAUUCUUGUCUCUUCCUUUUGAGCAAUUUAUGUUUCCUAACAAAAUGAGAAGAGAAACAGUCUCCUGGUGUUUGUUGUGCUGUUUUUGCAAUAGCCAUAGUGUCUGUUUGAACUUGAGUCUUCUGAGAUUUCCAAGCAGCUGGGAGAAACUGGUGACAACUCCUGCUGCCCAUUAGUUUCUGAAGAGCAGAACUGAAACUGGCAGGAACAUUGGUAGCUGUACACUGCUACAGUUUGGAUAAAUGAGAAGAGAAAACCAAAGCAACCUUUGUAUACAUUAACUUUGAGACCAAGGAGGUCUAGAAACUAAAAAAAAAUCAGAAUAAUGUUUUGCACCAAGUUAUUGAUUACUCCAAUCAUGAAUCAUUGUGAAAAGCAUCUCAUUCACAACUUGUAAAUAGAUAUGUAGAUAGGUUGGGGGGUUGGGGGUUGAUUUUUAAACUUUGUUGUAUUUAAUCCAAGCAACUUCCUACUUCACAUCUUUGUGUACAAAGUUCCCAUUAUUUACUGUGCUAAAUUAAGUAUGCAGCCACUGUAAAAGCAUUUUUACUUAAUACAUUCUUCUAAUCCUGGAUGCAGAGCAACCAGUUAAAAUUCCUAUUAUCUUUGUCAUGUUCUGCGAUACAUGAGCAUGUUGUAUAUGUAAUUUAAACUGGUUUAUGCUUCAAGAAUGGAAAAUCUGGUUUUCCAUUAUGGUGUACAGCUUUCCGUCUGACUUUUCAGUCAAGGAUGCAGGACUUAAUUAAUCAAUUGAUUAAUUUGCAAAAUCUUAGAGAAGAGGUAUAUUUCUGCAUCUUCCUAAAUGUGGCAGUCUUGAGAAGACAACUCUUUAAAGGAGGAAUUUUAAGACAGUGGCCAUCUAUAACAAUUUCUAGUACCAUAAUUUGUAUGGGAAUUUAGGCAAGCUAAAUAGGCAUAUUGUAGUUAAAACCUGAGAUUGCACAGCUUCUGUACUUCAUCUUCUUUGAAAUUUAUUUAAUUGUCUGAAGACAAGAAUUAAAAUACUUCCAUAGUCACACUUGUAUGAAAGUUCAAAAACCAGGUAAUGGUUCUUACAGACAGUUUUUCCCAUUUAAAAAAUGUUCCUGUAUGUUGUGUUAUGAUUUAUGAUCUCAUAAGUAUGUAUCAUUAAAUAAAAGCAAUCAGCCUUUAGUUUGUAUUCCUACUCCUUGUUGAUGCUUAUGAAGUGAAGUUUCAUGUAGGAUCUUGAGUAUUCUGGAUUUAAGGGUGUUCAUUUAGAUGAGAAUUACAGUGGAAAACAACUCAGUAUUGUUUCUUCUCUAUGGUUUCUUAUUUCAUUUCUGAUUUGUGGAGAUUUCUUCUUUUUUCUUUUUCUUUUUUUUUUCUUU
Long non-coding RNA from Prinia subflava (tawny-flanked prinia), 3046 nucleotides. RefSeq lists it as uncharacterized. Lineage: Eukaryota; Metazoa; Chordata; Aves; Passeriformes; Cisticolidae. The transcript has 3 exons. The record is from RefSeq and is a predicted model, not a curated record.